RNAcentral lists this ribosomal RNA (251 nucleotides) under uncultured bacterium. Its description in RNAcentral is "partial 16S ribosomal RNA". It matches the Rfam family "Bacterial small subunit ribosomal RNA", at positions 524 to 776 of the family's 1533-position model. The record is from RNAcentral.
UACAGAGGCCUCGAGCGUUAGGCGGAAUCACUGGGCUUAAAGCGUGUGUAGGCGGACUUCUAAGUACCUUGUGAAAUCCCACGGCUCACCCGUGGAACUGCUCGGUAUACUGGUUGUCUUGAGCCUUCUAGGGCGAGUGGAACAAAUGGUGGAGCGGUGAAAUGCGUAGAUAUCAUUUGGAACGCCAAUGGUGAAAACAACUCGCUGGGGAAGUGCUGACGCUGAGACACGAAAGCCAGGGAGCGAACGGG